UUUCUCGACACCAUGGUGGAGGUGACGUAUAUUCUGCAGAACAACACGGCAGAUGGACAGACGGUGGAGCACCUGAUGACCAGACACAGUGAAAUCACUGAGGUCAUGUAUGUGGGCUCUCAGAAUGGAGUUUAACAUUUACAGCCUGUGAUGCACUCUCAAGGCAACCGAGUUCAGUUUA
Molecule: long non-coding RNA, 181 nt
Organism: Carassius auratus (goldfish)
Lineage: Eukaryota; Metazoa; Chordata; Actinopteri; Cypriniformes; Cyprinidae
Exons: 3
Source: RefSeq, a predicted model, not a curated record